CCCUUAGAUGUUCUGGGCCGCACGCGUGCUACACUGAUGCAUUCAACGAGUCUAAAACCUGGUCUGAUAGGGCUGGGUAAUCUUUUGAAAGUGCAUCGUGAUUGGGAUAGAUGAUUGCAAUUCUUCAUCUUCAACGAGGAAUGCCUAGUAAACGCAAGUCAUCAGCUUGCAUUGAUUACGUCCCUGCCCUUUGUACACACCGCCCGUCGCUCCUACCGAUUGAAUGAUCCGAUGAAUACCAUGGAUUGAGAGUACGAAUAGGUUCGCUUAUUUCUGCUGCUCGAGAAGUGGAGUAAAUCUUAUCAUUUAGAGGAAGGAGAAGUCGGAACA
This 330-nucleotide ribosomal RNA is filed under the name uncultured eukaryote. RNAcentral describes it as "partial 18S ribosomal RNA". It matches the Rfam family "Eukaryotic small subunit ribosomal RNA", at positions 1470 to 1796 of the family's 1831-position model. The record is from RNAcentral.